RNAcentral lists this ribosomal RNA (473 nucleotides) under uncultured bacterium. RNAcentral's name for it is "bacterial SSU rRNA". It matches the Rfam family "Bacterial small subunit ribosomal RNA", at positions 335 to 801 of the family's 1533-position model. The record is from RNAcentral.
ACUCCUACGGGAGGCAGCAGUAGGGAAUCUUCCACAAUGGGCGCAAGCCUGAUGGAGCAACACCGCGUGAGUGAAGAAGGGUUUCGGCUCGUAAAGCUCUGUUGUUAAAGAAGAACACGUAUGAGAGUAACUGUUCAUACGUUGACGGUAUUUAACCAGAAAGUCACGGCUAACUACGUGCCAGCAGCCGCGGUAAUACGUAGGUGGCAAGCGUUAUCCGGAUUUAUUGGGCGUAAAGAGAGUGCAGGCGGUUUUCUAAGUCUGAUGUGAAAGCCUUCGGCUUAACCGGAGAAGUGCAUCGGAAACUGGAUAACUUGAGUGCAGAAGAGGGUAGUGGAACUCCAUGUGUAGCGGUGGAAUGUGUAGAUAUAUGGAAGAACACCAGUGGCGAAGGCGGCUACCUGGUCUGCAACUGACGCUGAGACUCGAAAGCAUGGGUGGCGAACAGGAUUAGAUACCCUGGUAGGAUAGCG